Myiozetetes cayanensis is the source of this 1985-nucleotide long non-coding RNA. RefSeq lists it as uncharacterized. Lineage: Eukaryota; Metazoa; Chordata; Aves; Passeriformes; Tyrannidae. The record is from RefSeq and is a predicted model, not a curated record. The transcript has 3 exons.
CACAUUUUCCAUAACAAUACUCUGAUAAAAGUUUAUUUUCUUCCCUUUUAUAUCUUUCCACUUAAAUAUGUUGAGCCCUUCUGCAGAUCAGGAGCUCGAGGAGUUAAGUAUCUUCUUACUCCUCCCUACUCAUCUUGUGCUUCAUCCUUGUGUAAGGGAAUUAAUUCACUGUGGACUUUACUAUUUACUGAUCUGUACAUUUAGACACAAACAACAGCUUGCUGUCUAUCUUACUUCCCAGGUUUUUGUAAAAGUUUUUGUUUUCUUGUUCCUUCUAAUCUUUUAAGACAUCUCUCAGGACAUGUCUUGUACAACUGAUCUGGGUAGCAGGUUCUCUCUUUUUCUGGGAUAGGGGAAAAACACCAUCAAACAGCACAUUCUCAAGAAUUAUGGAUGUCUUUAUAUACCUUUAUAUUACUAAGGCACAAAAGACACCCAGAGAAGAUGGAGAAGAUGAUCACUGUGUGCCUUGCUGUGGAAAAGUACAGGAGCUGACAGGCACUGAUGUCACUCACUGCCAGACAGGAGUAAUCCAGGGAUCACACAUGAAGUUCUCAGUACACGACCAUUUGGGGACAGGAGCAUCUGUCAGUGAUUUCUGGUGUCAGGAAAAAAUGGGACCAAGCCCCUUUGCUGCAAAAUUCCCCAGUGACGUGGAUCACCCUUCAGUCUGCUCCUGUUUGUCGGCUUUAUCGUGGCAGGACGGUAUGUUGUUUAAAGCAGAUUUAGAAACCAUUUCUGUGAAUGAGGUUAAAGGAAAACAGAUCUUGAUAAAGAUGAAAGGAAAUGGCUUUUACUGAGAAUCUCAGAGGGGUUUUUGGCCAAGAUAAGCGGUGCAUGGCUUGACUAAGAGAAUUGCUGCUGAAUAUUUCAUGAAGGAUAUUCCCUUUAUUUGGAUUAGUUCAACAGACAUGUUGGUUUUAAUUCUGUUAAAUGUUUUGAUUCUAAUCUGGUGUAAUCCAUUGAAUUCAAAGGACAAUUUGAGUCUAAUGAGCAUUUGUCCUGUAUUUUUACUAGGCAUUAAAACCAAAUUCACAGAACAAUUCAACAACUACAGCUAAGACUGAAAAAGGAAGAAAAGCUUGUCCUGAUGCCUGAAAAAUGCUGCAAAAUGGGCAUUUAAUGUGAAAAUGCUCAUGAGAAAUAGCUAUCCUCAGGCAUGUGAUCCAGCAAAGAAACCCAGAGAACUUUGCUUGGAAGCUUUAAAGGAUAUUCAGGAGUGAAAAGCACAGGUUGUGGAUGUUGAUACAAGCACAGCACCCAGCUCUUGUACAUGACAACAGUCAUAUAAAAAAGCAGAGACCGCCUGCAUAAAGGAUUAGAAUGUCUUUGAAAAUACCUUCCCCCCCCAAAAAAAAAACCAUCUAAAUUUCCAACUAAAUUUUUCCUGCAGUAUUAAUUCCUUUCACAAACCUGAACCUGCCCAGGGAAUGGCCACAUCCCUGCCAGCAGCCAGCCCCACACGGCACAGCUGCUUAGGAUGGAUAAUUCCUGCCUUUCCAUGGGCAUCAGCAAGGAAAACAUAAAAUAUAGCAAGCCUGCUGGUAUGGGUUUGACAAGGCUGCCCUCUGCUGAGAACAGCCCUGAGAGGAACAGGCAAAAAAAUGACAAACCAGAGAAGCAAGAGCAGCAAAACACCCGGGGAUCCAGGUGUUUUACCUGGACAUUGCAUCCAGGCACCUCAGAUAUUCCCACUGCAGCCUCCCGGGGCUGGGUGGGGUGUUUUGUUUUGUUAUGGUUUCAGCGGGCCGGCAGCAUCCCAGCAAAGUGAAGACAAAACUUCAGCAGAGUUCUAGAGCCAAUAACGGAAUGCCAAGUGUGAUUCCCUGCAUUUUGCAAUGUUUAAUGUUUAUUUCUAAUGAUUACAGUAACAGAAGAGAAAGCCCAGCCACUCUACUGGAGUCAGCAUUAAAAUAUUUCACAAGACAUGAGCACUGCUCUGCUAAACAAAAGGGGUCCAAACCUGUGUUGAAUUAUGUUCAAAC